UUCUCUUCCUCUUUCUUCGGAGACUGAUGCUAAGUGUUUGUUCCCCUGCUUCCUUUUUUGCUGUGGAAUUGGUCUUCACUGCAGAUGUUUUGGUUCCGUUGGAAAAAGGAAAGCUCUGCAAGUAGACGAUCCAUCUUUAAGCUUUAAUUGCAGACUCAGUGGCAGCGUCGCACUCAGAGCACAGGGAAAACAAAGCGGCAUGAAAAGAAAACACACACAGUCGCUAGAGUGUUUGAAGCUUUCUGGGUCUUUCAUCUUCUCCCUCUUAUACCUGCUUCCCUCCCCUUAACUGGGCCACCUUGUCUCCCCUCCUGUCCGUCUCGUCUCUGUUGAUUCUAAACGCAAAGCCUGAUCUGCAGCCUGGAAUGUGUUUGUGUUCCUCGUCACACCGUCCUGCAGCUAAAGCAUGUCGGUCCUCGGUCUAGCAGACACCAGAGGACGAUUGAAGAACGUGUGAGACACAGAUUGUGAGGUGCUGACAAGAAGAUCGCUGCAAUGUGAAGUAGACCUACUUUGGGUUUGAAAUAUUCGCUCUUUGACUCUGUAAGUGACGGAGAACUCCAUGAUGGUCGGUGGCAGAAAUCAUCAAAGCACAAGUCCUAGUCGGGCGUCAUGGUUGGUGUUCUUACAGCCGACAAGGGUUCUGGCUUCUCCUCUUCACCAAACCUUGGCGGUGAGUAGUGAGAGAACCAGAAUGACUUCAGCUCACUUGCAGGCCAACAUGGCAAUGAGAUGACUGGUGACCUCACCCUCGCCAAUUGCUCUCCAUGAAUCACAGCCAGCUGGAGGCUUCACAGCUGCGGUUAAUUGACGCACCGAUCAUCUGGAGACUCUGUGUCUUCCUUUCAGCUGUCACCUUUUUUUUUGUAAACCCCAGCAACAAACUAGAUGCAGGAAAACAACA
Molecule: long non-coding RNA, 904 nt
Organism: Nerophis lumbriciformis (worm pipefish)
Lineage: Eukaryota; Metazoa; Chordata; Actinopteri; Syngnathiformes; Syngnathidae
Source: RefSeq, a predicted model, not a curated record